This 433-nucleotide ribosomal RNA is filed under the name uncultured bacterium. RNAcentral's name for it is "partial 16S ribosomal RNA". It matches the Rfam family "Bacterial small subunit ribosomal RNA", at positions 29 to 507 of the family's 1533-position model. The record is from RNAcentral.
AACGAACGCUGGCGGCAUGCCUAACACAUGCAAGUCGAACGAGACCUUCGGGUCUAGUGGCGCACGGGUGCGUAACGCGUGGGAACCUGCCCUUAGGUUCGGAAUAACUCCCCGAAAGGGGUGCUAAUACCGGAUAAUGUCUUCGGACCAAAGAUUUAUCGCCUUUGGAUGGGCCCGCGUUGGAUUAGCUAGUUGGUAGGGUAAAAGCCUACCAAGGCGACGAUCCAUAGCUGGUCUGAGGGGAUGAUCAGCCACACUGGGACUGAGACACGGCCCAGACUCCUACGGGAGGCAGCAGUGGGGAAUAUUGGACAAUGGGCGAAAGCCUGAUCCAGCAAUGCCGCGUGAGUGAUGAAGGCCUUAGGGUUGUAAAGCUCUUUUACCCGGGAUGAUAAUGACAGUACCGGGAGAAUAAGCUCCGGCUGACUCCGUG